UGCAGUCGAGCGGUAGCACAGAGAGCUUGCUCUCGGGUGACGAGCGGCGGACGGGUGAGUAAUGUCUGGGAAACUGCCUGAUGGAGGGGGAUAACUACUGGAAACGGUAGCUAAUACCGCAUAAUGUCUCAAGACCAAAGUGGGGGACCUUCGGGCCUCUUGCCAUCAGAUGUGCCCACAUGGGAUUAGCUAGUAUGUGGGGUAACGGCUCACCUAGGCGACAAUCCCUAGCUGGUCUGAGAGGAUGACCAGCCACACUGGAACUGAGACACGGUCCAGACUCCUACGGGAGGCAGCAGUGGGGAAUAUUGCACAAUGGGCGCAAGCCUGAUGCGCCCUGCCCCGUGUGUGAGAAGGCCUUCUGGUUUUAAGCACUUUCACCGGGGAGGAAAGCGUUAAGGUUAUAACCCUGUCGAUUGACUUUCCCCCCCAAGAAACACCGGUAACUCCCUGCC
RNAcentral lists this ribosomal RNA (455 nucleotides) under Klebsiella sp. BHUPSB08. RNAcentral describes it as "bacterial SSU rRNA". It matches the Rfam family "Bacterial small subunit ribosomal RNA", at positions 56 to 509 of the family's 1533-position model. The record is from RNAcentral. Lineage: Bacteria; Pseudomonadati; Pseudomonadota; Gammaproteobacteria; Enterobacterales; Enterobacteriaceae.